AUUUCAGAUAGGAAGGAGAAAUAUGAAGACAUUUGGGCCCCUUGCGUUUUGUAUUAUCUAGUGACUAAGUGCCGUAACCCCCAUAACAUCCGCACAACGUCGCCCAAAUGAGUGUAUGAGAGGGAAGAAGUUUGAAUGAGGUUAAAGAUGUGCUUAAAGAUUAGAAAGCUUAUAAGAUGGAGAGGGCUCAGUCAGGGGAAGUUUUCUUUCAACCGUUAGGGCUUUUUUUCGCCCGUAUGAUUAAGAUGUAUAAAU
This is a non-coding RNA of Pelobates cultripes (western spadefoot toad), 255 nucleotides long. NCBI's taxonomy places the organism in Eukaryota, Metazoa, Chordata, Amphibia, Anura, Pelobatidae. The record is from the annotation of a GenBank genome assembly.